Long non-coding RNA from Archocentrus centrarchus (flier cichlid), 564 nucleotides. RefSeq lists it as uncharacterized. Lineage: Eukaryota; Metazoa; Chordata; Actinopteri; Cichliformes; Cichlidae. The transcript is spliced from 5 exons. The record is from RefSeq and is a predicted model, not a curated record.
UUCAGGGCCUCUCUUUUGACGGUAACACCUCUGUUUGCUUUAGGUAAGAUACAGAAAAAUAACGGUCACCGAACCUCUUUAGCUUGUUGUACGCAUCUGUUUCUGUAAGAUAAGAACCCCCACACCUCUUUCUUCCGAUCGAUCAAUUUCAUAAUUGGUUUGGACUGAACAGUGAGCACAUCAGAGCCUGUCUUGUUUAUGAAAAAAACAACUGAAUCUACUAAAUGUUGACACCUUUUUUUUGAGAUGACACGUUCAUUGCCUCUAUUUCAGACACAGAUGACGAUGUUGAAUUGAUUGAGGAGUCAGAUGUUGACAUAUCUGACUUAGACCGCUAUCUUCACGAUCAGAGAGCUUUCUCCUCUCCGAAAAGAACUCGCCUCGGUUCAGCUUCUAAAGGCUGUAAACUCACAGACAGCCAAAGACAGAUUCUCCGUGGUGCUACCUCAAUAGGAAAACAUCUCACAGUUGACAGAGGAGGCAAAAGUGUGACUGGAGCUCGCAUACCAAUACGCAGAAGGAGGCGGAGAAAUGAGAGGAGGUCCAGACGCAAAUACACCCAAG